Molecule: unclassified non-coding RNA, 357 nt
Filed under: uncultured Mortierella
Lineage: Eukaryota; Fungi; Mortierellomycota; Mortierellomycetes; Mortierellales; Mortierellaceae
Description: sequence contains ITS1
Rfam family: 5.8S ribosomal RNA (bases 1-105)
Source: RNAcentral
GAAAUGCGAUAAGUAAUGUGAAUUGCAGAAUUCAGUGAAUCAUUGAAAUCUUGAACGCAAAUUGCGCUUUGUUGCUUGCAACAGAGCAUGUUUGUUGGAGUGCCGUCAAAAGAUUAUACAAGUCUAUUUUGAUUUGUAAAAUGAAAGUUUACUUUAGUAAUCUUUUAAAGAAUAAUUCUUUUUAAAAGUCAAAUAUUAUGAUUUUAUUUUGAUUGGAAUGUUUAAUUACUAUUCAUUUCUUUUUAUUUUCAUAUGAUUUUUUAUUGAAUCGUUGAUUGAUAUAAUCUCUUUUUAUCUCAUCAACAUUUACACAAAACUCUUGGCCUCCAAUCAAGCAAGGUUACCCGCUGAAUUUAA